This 912-nucleotide ribosomal RNA is filed under the name Heyndrickxia coagulans. Its description in RNAcentral is "bacterial SSU rRNA". It matches the Rfam family "Bacterial small subunit ribosomal RNA", at positions 31 to 928 of the family's 1533-position model. Lineage: Bacteria; Bacillati; Bacillota; Bacilli; Caryophanales; Bacillaceae. The record is from RNAcentral.
GGAGGCAGGGGCGUGCUAUACAUGCAGUCGUGCGGACCUUUUAAAGCUUGCUUUUAAAGGUUAGCGGCGGAGGGGUGAGUAACACGUGGGCAACCUGCCUGUGAGACUGGGAUAACGCCGGGAAACCGGGGCUAAUACCGGAUAGUUUUUUCCUCCGCAUGGAGGAAAAAGGAAAGGCGGCUUCGGCUGCCACUUACAGAUGGGCCCGCGGCGCAUUAGCUAGUUGGGGGGGUAACGGCCCACCAAGGCAACGAUGCGUACCCCACCUGAGAGGGUGAUCGGCCACAUUGGGACUGAGACACGGCCCAAACUCCUACGGGAGGCAGCAGUAGGGAAUCUUCCGCAAUGGACGAAAGUCUGACGGAGCAACGCCCCGUGAGUGAAGAAGGCCUUCGGGUCGUAAAACUCUGUUGCCGGGGAAAAACAAGUGCCGUUCGAACAGGGCGGCGCCUUGACGGUACCCGGCCAGAAAGCCACGGCUAACUACGUGCCAGCAGCCGCGGUAAUACGUAGGUGGCAAGCGUUGUCCGGAAUUAUUGGGCGUAAAGCGCGCGCAGGCGGCUUCUUAAGUCUGAUGUGAAAUCUUGCGGCUCAACCGCAAGCGGUCAUUGGAAACUGGGAGGCUUGAGUGCAGAAAAGGAGAGUGGAAUUCCACGUGUAGCGGUGAAAUGCGUAGAGAUGUGGAGGAACACCAGUGGCGAAGGCGGCUCUCUGGUCUGUAACUGACGCUGAGGCGCGAAAGCGCGGGGAGCAAACAGGAUUAGAUACCCUGGGAGUCCACGCCGUAAACGAUGAGUGCUAAAUGUUAGAGGGUUUCCGCCCUUUAGUGCUGCAACUAACGCAUUAAACACUCCGCCUGGGGAGAACGGCCGCCAAGCUGAAAAUCAAAGGAAUUGACGCGGGGCCGCACAA